This 59-nucleotide transfer RNA is filed under the name Selenicereus monacanthus. RNAcentral describes it as "tRNA-Pro". The record is from RNAcentral. Lineage: Eukaryota; Viridiplantae; Streptophyta; Magnoliopsida; Caryophyllales; Cactaceae.
GGACGAGGAGUAGGAGGGUGAAUGGCAUGAAUAGUUGGUUCUUUGCCCAAUUGAAUCAA